GCCAACUUAGCUCACCUGGUAGAGCAGCACACUCGUAACGUGCAGGUAAUCGGUUCAAGUCCGAUAGUUGGCU
RNAcentral lists this transfer RNA (73 nucleotides) under Treponema sp. Its description in RNAcentral is "tRNA-Thr". It matches the Rfam family "tRNA". From Rfam's summary of the family: Transfer RNA (tRNA) molecules are approximately 80 nucleotides in length. The record is from RNAcentral. Lineage: Bacteria; Pseudomonadati; Spirochaetota; Spirochaetia; Treponematales; Treponemataceae.